UACGAAGGGGGCUAGCGUUGUUCGGAAUUACUGGGCGUAAAGCGCGCGCAGGCGGUCUUCCAAGUCAGUGGUGAAAGCCCGGAGCUCAACUCCGGAAUUGCCAUUGAAACUGUUGGACUUGAGGAUGAGAGAGGUGAGUGGAAUUCCCAGUGUAGAGGUGAAAUUCGCAGAUAUCAGGAGGAACACCAAUAGCGAAGGCAGCUCGCUGGGACGUUACUGACACUAAGGCGCGAAAGCGUGGGGAGCGAACAGG
Molecule: ribosomal RNA, 253 nt
Filed under: uncultured bacterium
Lineage: Bacteria
Description: partial 16S ribosomal RNA
Rfam family: Bacterial small subunit ribosomal RNA
Source: RNAcentral